RNAcentral lists this ribosomal RNA (254 nucleotides) under uncultured bacterium. RNAcentral describes it as "partial 16S ribosomal RNA". It matches the Rfam family "Bacterial small subunit ribosomal RNA", at positions 524 to 776 of the family's 1533-position model. The record is from RNAcentral.
UACGUAGGUGGCAAGCGUUGUCCGGAUUUACUGGGCGUAAAGAGCGCGCAGGCGGUUAUUCAAGUCGAAUGUGAAAGCCCCCGGCUCAAAUGGGGAGGGUCACGCGAUACUGAUCGACUCGAAGGCAGGAGAGGGUAGUGGAAUUCCCGGUGUAGUGGUGAAAUGCGUAGAUAUCGGGAGGAACACCAGUGGCGAAGGCGACUACCUGGCCUGUUUCUUGACGCUGAGGCGCGAAAGCUAGGGGAGCAAACGGG